CCCUUAGAUGUUCUGGGCGGCCCGCGCACUACAUUGGCACUGGCAACAAGAUCCUAGAUCUGAUAUUUCGGGGUAUUCUACCAACUGGUGUCGUGACUGGGAUUAACCCCUGCAAUUAUUGGUUAUGAACGAGGAAUUCCUUGUAAUCACGGUUUAUCAACCCGUGUUGAAUGCGUCCCUGCCCUUUGUACACACCGCCCGUCGCUCCUACCGAUGAAUCGUCCGGUGAAGUUCAUGGAGUCGCUGCUGCUCCAGCUGUUUUCGAAGUGAAAUGGACCUCAUGAUUUAGAGGAAGGAGAAGUCGUAACA
RNAcentral lists this ribosomal RNA (309 nucleotides) under uncultured eukaryote. RNAcentral's name for it is "partial 18S ribosomal RNA". It matches the Rfam family "Eukaryotic small subunit ribosomal RNA", at positions 1470 to 1796 of the family's 1831-position model. The record is from RNAcentral.